UGAGGGAUCUUGCGCAAUGGGGGCAACCCUGACGCAGCAACGCCGCGUGAGUGAGGAUGGUCUUCGGAUCGUAAAGCUCUGUCGGAUGGAAAGAACCGCAUAGGGGCAAACAGCCCCUGUGUCUGACGGUACCGUCAAAGGAAGCACCGGCUAACUCCGUGCCAGCAGCCGCGGUAAUACGGGGGGUGCAAGCGUGGUUCGGAAUUAUUGGGCGUAAAGAGCGUGUAGGCGGCCGGAUAUGUCAGAUGUGAAAGCCCUGGGCUUAACCCAGGAAGUGCAUUUGAAACUGUCCGGCUCGAGUAGGGGAGAGGGAAGUGGAAUUCCUGGUGUAGAGGUGAAAUUCGUAGAUAUCAGGAGGAACACCGGUGGCGAAGGCGACUUCCUGGCCCUAUACUGACGCUGAGACGCGAGAGCGUGGGUAGCAAACAG
RNAcentral lists this ribosomal RNA (429 nucleotides) under uncultured bacterium. RNAcentral describes it as "bacterial SSU rRNA". It matches the Rfam family "Bacterial small subunit ribosomal RNA", at positions 355 to 775 of the family's 1533-position model. The record is from RNAcentral.